This 253-nucleotide ribosomal RNA is filed under the name uncultured bacterium. Its description in RNAcentral is "partial 16S ribosomal RNA". It matches the Rfam family "Bacterial small subunit ribosomal RNA", at positions 524 to 776 of the family's 1533-position model. The record is from RNAcentral.
UACAAAGGGAGCUAGCGUUGUUCGGAAUCACUGGGCGUAAAGCGCACGUAGGCGGAUUUGCCAGUCAGGGGUGAAAUCCCGGGGCUCAACCUCGGAACUGCCUUUGAUACAGCAAGUCUUGAGUUCGAGAGAGGUGGGUGGAAUUCCUAGUGUAGAGGUGAAAUUCGUAGAUAUUAGGAAGAACACCGGUGGCGAAGGCGGCCCACUGGCUCGACACUGACGCUGAGGUGCGAAAGCGUGGGGAGCAAACAGG